UUUUUUUUUUUUUUUUUUCCUCCUCUUGUUUUUGUUCAUAUCCGUGUGGCUAUAGUUGGAUUUUCUUGGUAUUAGGAAGCAAAGGUUUAUUAAGAAAUCAAGAAAAAAAAAGCAGUGGCUAAGGAUCUGGAUUCAGUUCUAGUUAAUAGUCUUUUCUUUUUUCUCCCUCUUUCUCCUUGUUUCUUUUUGUGCGUUUUCAAAAAACCAAAAUUGUCUCUUUAAAUGAAGCCAAACAAAGAAGAAACUAUCAAAGUGAAUGAUACAAGGGUUAUGAGUUUUAAAGUCUAGCUAGCUGCUGCCAUAGUCUACAUAUUUGAGAAAUCCGUUUCAACUUCUCUAUUUGGGGUUCUUUCUCUUUCCAGUUUCUCCCUUAUUUUAGCUUUUUCUAGGUUUGGAUUUUUCUCUUUUAUUAUAUAUUCUUUGUCUUUAGAUCUAUUAUACCGUUUUUCACAUAAUAUGAAAACCGGAAGAAUCCAUGGCCCAUGAUGCAACCUUAAGCUUUCUAGAACUGCUUAUCUAAGAGAAGAAGAUGAUGAAAGGUUUGAUGUUUCAUCAGCAACAGCAACCACAAGAGGAAAGCAUGUCUAAUUUGACUUCAGCUUCUGGUGAAGCAAGUGUUUCUUCAGGCAACAGAAAUGAAACUGGAACUAACUAUCCUCAACAAUACUUUGCUCCUCCACCUCCUCAAACUCAACCUGUCAAAAAGAAGAGAAACCUGCCAGGAAAUCCAGGUUUCAAAUCCUUCUCGACGCCGUUAUUUUUAUUGCUUAUUAUUAUUUUCUGUGCCAAUUAUCAUCAUUUUCUCUUUUUGGUGGGUUCUUCAAUCAGACCCAGAUGCAGAAGUGAUAGCUUUGUCUCCCAAAACUCUACUGGCAACCAACAGAUUUAUAUGUGAUGUCUGUAACAAAGGAUUUCAGAGAGAUCAGAACCUUCAGCUUCACAGAAGAGGGCACAACCUGCCAUGGAAGUUAAAGCAAAGAACAAACAAAGAGGUGAGAAAGAAGGUAUAUGUGUGCCCGGAAGCUGCAUGUGUGCAUCAUGACCCAUCAAGGGCUCUCGGAGACCUUACAGGGAUCAAGAAGCACUUCUGCAGAAAGCAUGGUGAGAAGAAGUGGAAGUGUGAAAAGUGCUCAAAGCGUUAUGCUGUACAAUCAGACUGGAAAGCCCAUUCCAAGAUUUGUGGCACAAGAGAGUAUAGAUGUGAUUGUGGAACCCUUUUCUCUAGGUAAGAUCAAUACAUAAAUAUAUACACAAUUCUUUUUCAGGACAAGAAUGAAGUGUGAUCAGACAUUUUCUUUGGCUUCCUUUCAUUUCUAGUUCCAUGAUUGUUAAGUUAAUUAAUUAUUGUCUAUGAUGCUUUAUAUAUGCUCCGUGUGACAAAGAGAUCAAUAGGAAGAGGAGAGGGAGAGAGAGAGUUUUUGGAGUUGUAAAUUUCUUAUGGCUAUCUUAGAGGGCUUAAUAUUAGAAAAAUGGUUGAUAUUAUCUGCUAUUUCUUUAUCGAUCCUUGGGGAUAUGAAAAGGAAGAAAAUACAAAAAGUUGACACAAGAAAAUUAGAGAGAAAGAUAAGGGUGCUUGUACACUGUGAGCAAAUGCCAUUUUGAUAUUAUAGACUUUUGUUUUUAUCUGCUGGUCUAAUUGCAGGAGGGACAGUUUCAUCACCCAC
RNAcentral lists this unclassified non-coding RNA (1664 nucleotides) under Hevea brasiliensis (rubber tree). Lineage: Eukaryota; Viridiplantae; Streptophyta; Magnoliopsida; Malpighiales; Euphorbiaceae. The record is from RNAcentral.